GCAUGGUAUUGGAUUUAUGGUGGGUCCAUCUGUGUGGGCCUUUCAUCGUGUACCCAAGAAAGAGCAAAAUACAGAUCGAACCACUGCCCAGUCCCCGCUGUGGUCUGCGAGCACAGUUUGGGAAAAAAA
This is a small nucleolar RNA of Cavia aperea (Brazilian guinea pig), 129 nucleotides long. Lineage: Eukaryota; Metazoa; Chordata; Mammalia; Rodentia; Caviidae. The record is from Ensembl.